Molecule: ribosomal RNA, 374 nt
Filed under: uncultured bacterium
Lineage: Bacteria
Description: bacterial SSU rRNA
Rfam family: Bacterial small subunit ribosomal RNA
Source: RNAcentral
AUACGUAGGUGGCGAGCGUUGUCCGGAAUUACUGGGCGUAAAGGAUGCGUAGGCGGCCUCUUAAGUGGGAUGUGAAAUGCCGGGGCUUAACCCCGGAACUGCAUUCCAUACUUGGAGGCUAGAGUGCAGGAGAGGAAAGUGGAAUUCCCAGUGUAGCGGUGAAAUGCGUAGAGAUUGGGAGGAACACCAGUGGCGAAGGCGGCUUUCUGGACUGUAACUGACGCUGAGGCAUGAAAGUGUGGGGAGCAAACAGGAUUAGAUACCCUGGUAGUCCACACCGCAAACGAUGGGCACUAGGUGUAGGGGGCGUAGCCCUCUGUGCCGCAGUUAACACAUUAAGUGCCCCGCCUGGGGAGUACGAUCGCAAGAUUAAA